UUUAGCUCUUCCGUCCACAAGGAUUCCACCAAAGUUAGUUGGUUUAUCAGGGCCUCUUUUUCAUCCUUCAUAUGAGACACCUGAAAGUUAUUUUUUAAUUAUUGUUAUUGUAGUAAAACAUAUAUAUAUAUUUCACAGAACGUACGUACCUUUUUAACCAAUUUUAAGUGUAUGGUUCAGCAGCAUGAAGUACAUUCACAUUGUUUAGAUCCACUGCCACUCUCCAGCUCCAGAACUUUUUCUAUCACCCAAACAGAAACUCUACAAGCAUACAUCAAUAACCCUAUUCCCCUCUUCCCCAAACCCCCCGUCACCUCUACUCCACUCUCUGUCUCUACGAACUCACCUGUUCCAGGAACCUCACAGAAGUGGAUCAUACAGCAUUUGUCCUUUUGUGUCUGGCUUAUUUCAUUUCCAAUAAUGUCUUCAAGCUUCAUUAAAAUCACUCUUUAAAUCCCAGGCAUGUUUUCAUACGAAUAAGCUGAUUUCUCAUUUAACUAAAACAUUUACUAAAUAAACACAUCAAUGAGAAAGAAUGCUUGAAGUCACACAGUAACUUUUACUUUUUGCCUUUUAAUAAAAAGUAAAGGCAAAGAUAUGGAAUCAACCUAAGUAUUCAUCAACAGAUGAAUAAAGAAAAAGUGGCAUAUAUACCCAGUGAAGUACAUUCAGCCUUAUAAAAAAGGAAAUUUUGUCAUUUGUGACAACGUGGAUGAACCUGGAGGACAUGCUGUCACACGGCAAUAAGCCAGCACAGAAUGACCAAUAUUGCAUGAUCUCACUAUACAUGGACUCUAAAAUCAUCAAACUCAUAGAAGCAGGGAGUCAAAUUGUGGUCACCAGAGGCUGAGGGGUUGGAGAGGGAUUAGGGAGAUGUUGAUCAAAAGACACCAAAUUUCAGCUGGACCAGAGGAUUAAGUUCAAGAGAUCUAUGGUACAUCGUGGUGACUACAGUUAAUAACAAUAUAUUAUGUACUUGAAAAUUGCUAAGUGCAGAUUUUAAGUGUUCUCACCACAAAAAAAAUAAGUAUAUGUGAUCAUGCAUAUGUUAAAUAGCUUGAUUUAGCCAUCCACGAUGUAUACCUAUUUUAAAACAUCAUGUAGUCCACUAUAAAUAUAUACAAUUUUUACUGACCAAUUAAAAAUAAAGAGGCCAGGUGCAGUGGCUCAUGCCUGUAAUCCCAGCACUUUGGGAGGCUGAGGUGGGCGGAUCACCUGAGGUCAGGAGUUUGAGACUAGCCUGCCCAACAUGGUGAAACCCUGUCUCUACUAAAAAUACAAAAAUUAGCCAGAUGUGGUGGCGGGCACUUGUAAUCCCAGCUACUCGGGAGGCUGAGGCAGGAGAAUCACUUGAACCCAGGAGGCGGAGGUUGCAGUAAGCCGAGAUCGUGCCAUUGCACUCCAGCCUGGGAGACAGAGCAAGACUCUGUCUCAAAAAAAAAAAAAAAAUAGAAAAGAAAAAGAAAAAAUAAAAAUAAAAAAUUGAGAGAAAAAGCAUAGGUACUAUGUUAACAGUCAAAAAUGGAGCCCAGAUGCGGUGGUUCAGGCCAGGCGCAGUGGACACUUGUAAUCCCAGCACUUUGGGAGGCUGAGGCGGGUGGAUCACUUGAGGUCAGGAGUUCAAGACCACCCUGGCCAACAUGGUGAAACCCCGUCUUUACUAAAAAUACAAACAUUAGCUGGGCAUGGUGGCGGGUGCCUGUAAUCCCAGCUACCCGGGAGGCUGAGGCAGGAGGAUCGCUUGAACCUGGGAGGUGGAGGUUGCAGUGAGCCAAGAUCGUGCCAUUGCACUCCAGCCUGGGCAACAAGAGUGAAACUCCAUCUCAAAGAAAACAAAAAUAGAGAUUACAUCAACAUUUAUUUAUUUAAGGCACUAAACAAUGCUCUUAUGAAAUGCACUAUCCCUAAUAACAUGUACAAAACAAGGAACUGCUGAAUCAAGACACUUCUUUAAGGAUGUCAUAUUCUAGAAACAUACCUUUUGAAGCACAGCAUUAGUCUCUUCUAUGAAAUAAUAGCAUAUUUUCUGGGCUAUGUCCAAACUUGUCUUCUCAUUCGUAUCUGAAAUUACCUCCCCAAGAAGUACUUUUUUCCAGCAUGUACUAGAACCAAAAUGUUCCAUGACACAAUUUUAGCAGGCUCUCAAAAAACAGAUUUUUUUGUUUCAGUGCAACACAUAAACUCCUUCUCCUAUUUCUCCAGGAGCAUAAUACAACUCAUUCCAUAAGCAGAUUCCCCAAACCUCCAUGCCACUUGCAGCUCCCAUGUGGAAGCCGACCAGGUAAUGAGAGAGGAGGAGGAGGAGCUGAGAAUAAAAGCACGGGGGGUGGGUACUCUCUGCAGGCAAGGGCUGAAUGUUAUUAUCAUCACAAACCUGUGUCUGACCCAUGAGUGAAUGAAGUCCCGUUCCCGGCCAUGGGAACGAAGCCAGUGACAGAACAGGAGGGCGAGUCCACAGCCGAAAGGCAGAGGACUAAGGAGCAAAGGCAGAAGUUUUCCUUCAAGUGACCGUCUGUCCAAAAUAGUAGCAAACUGGGCACAAUUCACAAAGCCAAAUGCUCCAUGUCUGGAAGGAGGAAUCUACAGCAAGCCUCUAUCCCCAUGCAGGUCAUUCCAGUGCUCUACUACAAAGGUUCGCAGGAAACGGGGCUCAGUCAGCAGGCAGGGCCCACUCUGGAAGGUCUGCUGUGGCAGGUGCAAGGGAGCCACAGCAGGAUGCGGAGCAGAGGUGGCAGCGCCAGACCUAGACACUAGAAAGAAGAACUACCGGGAGAAAGACGACGGAGGACCGGAUUCUGAACACCGAGAAUCUGGAAGUGGAAGUGGCUUCGAAGGGGAGGAAAGAUGGCUGCUGUGGAAGUAAACAGGAGCCCAUUAGAUUCAGAACAGCUGGCAAGACACAGCCCGGAAUAGUCUCAGAAGGCUUCAGUUUCAGAGAUGACAGGUGAAAUGAGUUCUCAGUAAAGAAAAAGGAAAUGACUGUGUGUCAGGCAUGGUGUUCAUGAAUAACCAUUACCUAAUUUAAUCUUCACAGUUACCUAGCAAAGAAAGCACGAUAAUCCGCAUGCUAGACUCAAAGAAACACUCAGCAAAGUUGAAGCACUCACCCUGAGUGACAGAGCUAGUGAGGCAGAAAGAACUGAAACGCCCCAGCCAGAGCCCCACACGUGCUUUCUCCACACCCACUCAGUAAGCGGUAACUCAAAUGCAAGAAAAGAGGCCUAAGGAAGACCUCUGGGAAACAGCCAGUUGUUGUAUUUAAUUUUAGGCUGAAGUGUCCGAAAAGGACUCAUACCUUGUUGCCAGAAGGAUUUAAAGAAGCUAACAUAAGUACACACAAAAUAAAAGGUAAGAUGAAUGAAGGCAGAAAACAAGACAAAGGAAGACAAAAGGAGAAAAGACAAGACACUGCAGGAAUGGGCCAGUGCGAAACCGCAUGUCCCAACACUAGGUACGUUUGCAUGCACCUCAGAUUUGCCUCUCAGUUUUCCAGUGAACAAGGAAAAGAAGGAAACAUCGGUUAAAGAAUUCAUAGUAUCUGUAAGAUAAAAACACUCCAUUUGCUAAGAAUAAAAACAAAAACUAUGUCUAGUGUUGAGACCAGAGAGAAAUUUUACUCCAAAAGUUCCUAGAGAAAAAGAAGGAAGCAACAUCAUCUCAUCCAAAAGAAGAACAGGCGUCACUGAAGGGGCACCGACUGCUCCCAGGCACUGUGCCUCAUCUCAGUCAGUCCUCCCAACUGUUCAAGGACAGCCUGCACCAUCUUCAAGAGGUUCUCCCUGGAUAUCUAGCAGCAGAAGGUUGAAGGCUGCUCUCCCUGCCAGGGACUCAGGCUGAAGCUGCCCCUACACUGGGUACAGCACAGCUGGAUGUGUCGACAGGGGGCUGCAGGGAGCAGGACUGACAGCAGGCAGGAACAUGAGGGAGCCUGGCCAGGAUGCACACCCACACCGGGGGCUCCCCGACCUGCCUCCCCCAUGGAAAAGUCCAGCUCUUCAGCCAGGUUUCUGGAUCUCCCCCAGGGCAGGACCGACGUUAGGGACUCUAGCUCUACUUGUCCUGGGCAAAACCUACCUACUCAGAGACUUUCCUCUGAACAGUGCCAAUGCCCACACUUUUUAAAGGAUUUCAGGUCACCAGAAGGAAAAUAUGAGUAGAAACAAAAAGAUUAUCAAAACUAUGUAUGCUGAGUCUAAAACCAGAAUUCCAAAACGGUUAAAACUUAGAAAUGAAACAUUCGCUACAUGGGCAAGUUACAUAAUGAGAAAGCAACUCCAAUGUAUGACAUCCCUUUUUCCUCCCUGGCUGGGUAUCUGAAUGCAAGCCAAAAACAAACAAACCAACCCUCCAAAGUUAUAUCUAGCCUGUUGCUACAGCUUAAGACCAACACAUGUGAAACUUACAAUUUCUCAGCUUCCAGACAUAACAACUUAAGGGCUGUGAGUAGCCUCCAAGAUGGUCCAUCCCAUCCAAAUGUCAAAUUUCUGAAGUAGAAAAACAAAUAAUGACAAAUCCAUCAUUUCAGUAUUUCAUGACCUCAUAGCAAAUGACUGAAGAGCCAAACACCUUUUUAAAGAGGUUGCUAAAUGUCAUGUAACCUGCAACCUCGGCCAAAGGACAAGAGAAAAUCAGUCUGCAAAUACUUAAGAAGAAAGCCUAAGUAACAGGAAAUUCUCUCCCCAUUUUUUUUCUAAAGAGUAAACAGCUGGCCGGGCGCAGUGCCUCACGCCUGUAAUCCCAGCACUUUAGGAGGCCAAGGCAGGUGGAUCACGAGGUCAGGAGAUCGAGACCAUCCUGGCUAACACGGUGAAACCCCAUCUCUACUAAAAAUACAAAAAAUUAGCUGGGCGUGGUCGCAGGCACUUGUAGUUCCAGCUACUUGGGUGGCUGAGGCAGGAGAAUGGCGUGAACCCGGGAGGCAGAGCUUGCAGUGAGCUGAGAUUGCGCCACUGCACUCCAGCCUGGGCGACAGAGCAAGACUCCUUCUCAAAAAAAAAAAAAAAAAAAAAAAAAAAAAAAGAGCUUAACCAUGGAUGAGGGGCCGGAGGCAGGGCCCAUGCACAGGAGUUCCCAGUAAGAGAAACGCUUAAGAACUGGAACUACCCUGGGCAUCCCACUGAUGGCAGCCACCACUGCCAGGCUGCUCUCACACCAUGGCGGGAUCAUUUCAAACUUCAUUUCAUCCAGAAAAGAAAAUCUGAAAGGGAGAGCCUUGAACCCUGUUUAGCCACUUGGCAUGGAAUCACCUCGCUACCCACCUACCCCAAGAGCCUGCACCAUGUUGCCAGGUGCGUGGGCUCUCCUGAGGCCCAGCCUGGCCUUUCCACAUGACCACAAGGGAGACAGACUCACCCUGGGCCACCCAUCAACACAUCCAAGCUCUCUUUUGGUACCAUAAUUUAAUAUUUCUAGCUUGUAUCUUAUGUCCCUAAAGAAGUUUCUUUCAAGUGUCUUAUACUCCUUUUGUCCUCCACAACAUCAAGCGCAGUUUUACUGCACAUAGUAAGUGCUCAAUACCUACCCGUCAGCUGAUACAGGGUCAGGAGGGGUCUCACCCCCAUGGAAAAUUUAACCCCAGGUUUUCCAUGAAAAUUUCCUAAAGGAAUAAUUUUAAGAGGGAAAGAGAAACACUUACUCUAUAUAGCCAUGAUCCUUUAAAAUAGAAAUC
RNAcentral lists this long non-coding RNA (5668 nucleotides) under Homo sapiens (human). RNAcentral's name for it is "HSALNT0273214". Lineage: Eukaryota; Metazoa; Chordata; Mammalia; Primates; Hominidae. The record is from RNAcentral.